AGUGAACGCUGGCGGUAGGCCUAACACAUGCAAGUCGAACGGCAGCACAGUAAGAGCUUGCUCUUACGGGUGGCGAGUGGCGGACGGGUGAGGAAUACAUCGGAAUCUACUUUUUCGUGGGGGUUAACGUAGGGAAACUUACGCUAAUACCGCAUACGACCUACGGGUGAAAGCAGUGGAUCUUCGGACCUUGCGCGAUUGAAUGAGUCGAUGUCGGAUUAGCUAGUUGGCGGGGUAAAGGCCCACCAAGGCGACGAUCCGUAGCUGGUCUGAGAGGAUGAUCAGCCACACUGGAACUGAGACACGGUCCAGACUCCUACGGGAGGCAGCAGUGGGGAAUAUUGGACAAUGGGCGCAAGCCUGAUCCAGCCAUACCGCGUGGGUGAAGAAGGCCUUCGGGUUGUAAAGCCCUUUUGUUGGGAAAGAAAAGCAGCAGGUUAAUACCCCGCUGUUCUGACGGUACCCAAAGAAUAAGCACCGGCUAACUUCGUG
RNAcentral lists this ribosomal RNA (492 nucleotides) under uncultured bacterium. RNAcentral describes it as "partial 16S ribosomal RNA". It matches the Rfam family "Bacterial small subunit ribosomal RNA", at positions 29 to 507 of the family's 1533-position model. The record is from RNAcentral.